AUGUCUACCUGCCUCACUGAUAUGAUCAAUGCCAAUAAUGUUGAUUUUAUUGGUCUUCAAGAGACUAUGAAAAAGUCCUAUAAACCUUCCUUUUUUAAGAAGUUGGAUUCUGGACAAAAAAAUUAUUGGGAAUGGAUUCCCUCUCGAGGCAAAUCUGGAGGCAUUCUAUGUGGUGUUAAUAAGGACAAGUUUGAUCUUAUUGCUAUUAAAUAUGGAAAAUAUAUCAUUCAAUUAUACCUUUUGGAUAAAAACAUGAAAUGUUGCUGGUCCUUGAUGGUAGUAUAUGGAGCAGCCCAUGAUGAGAGUAAGCCCAAGUUUAUUGCUGAAUUAUCUCAUAUGUGUCAUGCCACUCAGAUCCCUUACUUAGUGGGUGGGGAUUUUAAUAUUCUUCGUCACAGCGGUGGGAAGAAUAAAAAGACGCCCAUGUCUCAUUUCUCGGAUGUUUUUAAUUCUGUCAUCCACUUGCUUGGGCCUAGGGAGAUCUGCAUGUCUGGAGGGGUGUACACGUGGUCGAACAAGCAGGAGAACCCCACUCUGGAGAAGCUGGAUAGAGUUUUAAUGUCACCUGAAUGGGAGGACUUAUAUCCUCUUGUCUCGGUUAACUAAUUAGUUAAGGACCUAUCUGAUCACAAUCCCCUGUUGUUGGAUGGGGGAGGGUUGCAGGUAGAGCACCAGGGAAUAGGUGCUUUAGAUUUGAUAAUAAAUGGCUGA
RNAcentral lists this ribosomal RNA (711 nucleotides) under Triticum aestivum (bread wheat). RNAcentral describes it as "partial small subunit ribosomal RNA". Lineage: Eukaryota; Viridiplantae; Streptophyta; Magnoliopsida; Poales; Poaceae. The record is from RNAcentral.